RNAcentral lists this small RNA (843 nucleotides) under Pongo abelii (Sumatran orangutan). Its description in RNAcentral is "retained intron". Lineage: Eukaryota; Metazoa; Chordata; Mammalia; Primates; Hominidae. The record is from RNAcentral.
CUUGUGGUAUCUUAAUUUUAGCUGCUACAACAAAUUUCCAUAGACUGUGUGGCUUAAACAACAGACAUUUAUUUCUCACAGUUCUGGAGGCUGGGAAGUCUGAGAGCAGGAUGCCACCAUGCGCAGCUUGUGGUGCAGGCUGUUCCUGAUUGUAGGCAGCUGCCUUCUUGCUGUGUCCUCCCAUGGCAGAGAGCAGACAGGAAGCAAGCUUUUUGUUGUCUCUAUUUAUAAGGGCACUAAUCACAUCACGAGGGCUCCACCCUCAUGGCCUAAUUGCCUCCAAAAGGCCCCGUCUCCAAAUACCAUGUUUUGGGGAAUUUGAGUUUCAACAUGUGAAUUUGGGAAGGACACAAACAUUUAGUCCAUAGCAUGAAGCUAAUUCCAUUUCAUCAGUUACAUCACAUUGUGCUCUGCUUGGGGAUUAAUAUUUCAGUCUCUGUGAGUUUUAUGUGUUUUACUACGCAAGUAUUCUUUCGUCAGAUACUACUAGAUGGGAAGAUAAACAAAAAUGUUAAUGUAUAAAUUACAUCUGAUUUUUUUUUUUUAACUAAAGGUCUGGAAUUAACUUUCUUCUCUGGUGUAUAUGGAACCUGUAUUGGUGCUAUAAAUAAAUUUGGAGCAGAAGAGAAAAGCCUUAUUGGACUUUCUGGCAUUUUCAUCGGCAUUGGAGAAAUUUUAGGUGGAAGCCUCUUCGGCCUGCUGAGCAAGAACAAUCGUUUUGGUAGAAAUCCAGUUGUGCUGUUGGGCAUCCUGGUGCACUUCAUAGCUUUUUAUCUAAUAUUUCUCAACAUGCCUGGAGAUGCCCCGAUUGCUCCUGUUAAAGGAACUGACAGCAGUGCUUAC